UUGAGUGUGGUUCUCAUGUUCAAAGGUAUUGUCAAAAUUUGAGACAAAUCAAUUUGAACCUUAUGGCGGCCACAUGCUUGCUUUCUUUUUGAAGAAAGAUUUACUGGAACACCUGCAGCACGACAUUUCUUUGCUUCCCUCCAUAUAGUUUGCACUUGACACCUAUUGACAUUAAACAACUGAGCCACUACUGUGGUGCUUGUUUUUUUCAGUUUUCCAUUGUUGCUCAUUAGAAGCAAUUCUUCAUAAAUAUCAUGUCUUUCCUUUUCUGUCAGAUUCUUUCUUCUUCUCACAAUAUUUGUAUUUGCAUGCUGAUCACGUGCUUGAACACUGGGUCCUUGGAGACUGCCUUCCCCUAAGUUGACAUGAAAAUCUUCGCCAUACACAGGAUCUUCGUCAUCUUCAUGGUGGCAAUAAAUGAAUAAACAUUGAAAGGGUCCACAUCAUCAUCAAAAUCUAGGACAAGGAGGAAGAAAGCUUUUUACCAAAAGGACAACAGGUCCGGGAGGCCACCACCACUUGCUCCUACUGCUGGUCCAUCUUCGUUGUCAUCAAAGAAAGGGGGAUUAUUGAGAUCAAAUGACAUGGCUCUCAGCAAGAUACGAGAUGGAGUGAGGAAAAAAGAGAUGAAGUGAUCUUAUUU
Molecule: long non-coding RNA, 643 nt
Organism: Panicum hallii
Lineage: Eukaryota; Viridiplantae; Streptophyta; Magnoliopsida; Poales; Poaceae
Exons: 3
Source: RefSeq, a predicted model, not a curated record